AUCCUUAGUUGCCAGCGAGUUAAGUCGGGAACUCUAGGGAGACUGCCGGUGAUAAACCGGAGGAAGGUGGGGACGACGUCAAGUCAUCAUGGCCCUUACGAGUAGGGCUACACACGUGCUACAAUGGUACGUACAGAGGGAGGCAAGCUGGCGACAGUGAGCGGAUCUCUUAAAGCGUAUCGUAGUCCGGAUCGCAGUCUGCAACUCGACUGCGUGAAGUCGGAAUCGCUAGU
RNAcentral lists this ribosomal RNA (233 nucleotides) under Mesorhizobium sp. RNAcentral's name for it is "partial 16S ribosomal RNA". It matches the Rfam family "Bacterial small subunit ribosomal RNA", at positions 1107 to 1339 of the family's 1533-position model. The record is from RNAcentral. Lineage: Bacteria; Pseudomonadati; Pseudomonadota; Alphaproteobacteria; Hyphomicrobiales; Phyllobacteriaceae.